Molecule: long non-coding RNA, 731 nt
Organism: Rhinopithecus roxellana (golden snub-nosed monkey)
Lineage: Eukaryota; Metazoa; Chordata; Mammalia; Primates; Cercopithecidae
Exons: 4
Source: RefSeq, a predicted model, not a curated record
GUGAUCCACCCACCUCAGUCUCCCAAAGUGCUGGGAUUACAGGCAGUAGAGCGAGGCAAGCCGCACUGGCUGAGAGGCUGUGGAGCCAGAUGAAAAAGCAGCACCUGAGCCCUCUGACGAUGGACCCUACAGUUUGAACAUUUAUUCACCUCCUGAGCUUGUACAACAGUCGUGGGAGUUGCGGCAGAAGCAAGUGAAAGGCCAGAUGAGUGCUUCUAAGCUUGGGAGGAAGAGAGAGGAGGGCAGCCACCGAGGAUUCUUGAGGAGAGAGACCAUAGUAUGAAUGAAAGAGCUGGAAAGACGAAUUUAAGGCACUGGGAGGCUGAAUCCUUUAUUUUGCUGGAAGAAAAACUGAAUGCCAGAAGGGCCGCACUUUGCCCAAAGCUCUACAGCCAUCAGGGGCAAUGCUGGGACUCCCCCCAUGGAUCUCUUGGCUCCUAAUACAGUGCUCUUUCUGAUACGCCAUCUGGCUCCGUAAUGAACGUGGUGUUCCAGGAAAAUCAGUCUGCGCUGAACAGGAUGGAAUUGGGGCAGGAUGUCCAGUGAGGAGGACAUUGAGGCAGCAGAGCAAAUGAUUGCCAAAUGACCACCUAUCCUACUUAAAAGAUCAACCUCGGGGUGGAUUGGAGCUUUCUUUUUUCUUUUUUUUUUUUUGAGAUGGAGUCUUGCUCUGUCGCCCAGGCUGGAGUGCAGUGGCGCGAUCUUGGCUCACUGUGAGCUCCGCCUCCCGG